AGUGAACGCUGGCGGUAGGCCUAACACAUGCAAGUCGAACGGCAGCACAGUAAGAGCUUGCUCUUACUGGUGGCGAGUGGCGGACGGGUGAGUAAUACAUCGGCAUCUACUUUUUCGUGGGGGAUAACGUAGGGAAACUUACGCCAAUACCGCAUACGACCUACGGGUGAACGUAGGGGAUCUUCGGACCGUGCGCGAUUGAAUGAUCCGAUGUCGGCUUAGCUAGUUGGCGGGGUAAAGGCACACCAAGGCGACGACACGUAGGUGGUCUGAGAGGAUGAGCAGCCACACUAGAACGGAGACACGGUCCAGACUCCUACGGGAGGCAGGGGUGGGGAAUGUUGGACAAUGGGAGGAAGCCUGAUCCAGCCCUACCGCGUGGGGGAAAAAGGCCUUCGGGUAUUAAAGCCCAUUUGUUGGGAAAGAAAAGCAGCAGGUUAAUACCCCGCUGUUCUGACGGUACCCAAAGAAUAAGCACCGGCUAACUUCGUG
RNAcentral lists this ribosomal RNA (492 nucleotides) under uncultured bacterium. RNAcentral describes it as "partial 16S ribosomal RNA". It matches the Rfam family "Bacterial small subunit ribosomal RNA", at positions 29 to 507 of the family's 1533-position model. The record is from RNAcentral.